Molecule: ribosomal RNA, 497 nt
Filed under: uncultured bacterium
Lineage: Bacteria
Description: partial 16S ribosomal RNA
Rfam family: Bacterial small subunit ribosomal RNA
Source: RNAcentral
GAUGAACGCUGGCGGCGUGCCUAAUACAUGCAAGUCGAGCGAACGGACGAGAAGCUUGCUUCUCUGAUGUUAGCGGCGGACGGGUGAGUAACACGUGGAUAACCUACCUAUAAGACUGGGAUAACUUCGGGAAACCGUAUCUAAUACCGGAUAAUAUUUUGAACCGCAUGGUUCAAAAGUGAAAGACGGUCUUGCUGUCACUUAUAGAUGGAUCCGCGCUGCAUUAGCUAGUUGGUAAGGUAACGGCUUACCAAGGCAACGAUGCAUAGCCGACCUGAGAGGGUGAUCGGCCACACUGGAACUGAGACACGGUCCAGACUCCUACGGGAGGCAGCAGUAGGGAAUAUUCCGCAAUGGGCGAAAGCCUGACGGAGCAACGCCGCGUGAGUGAUGAAGGUCUUCGGAUCGUAAAACUCUGUUAUUAGGGAAGAACAUAUGUGUAAGUAACUGUGCACAUCUUGACGGUACCUAAUCAGAAAGCAACGGCUAACUACGUG